Molecule: ribosomal RNA, 254 nt
Filed under: uncultured bacterium
Lineage: Bacteria
Description: partial 16S ribosomal RNA
Rfam family: Bacterial small subunit ribosomal RNA
Source: RNAcentral
UACGUAGGGGGCGAGCGUUGUCCGAAGUUACUGGGCGUAAAGCGCGCGUAGGCGGUUUCUUAAGUCUGGGGUGAAAGGUUCAGCGCUCAACGCGAACAGUGCCUUGGAUACUGGGUAACUUGAGUCUGGGAGGGGGCAGUGGAAUUCCUGGUGUAGCGGUGAAAUGCGUAGAUAUCAGGAGGAACACCGGUGGCGAAGGCGGCUGCCUGGCCUAAGACUGACGCUGAGGUGCGAAAGCGUGGGGAGCGAACGGG